This 253-nucleotide ribosomal RNA is filed under the name uncultured bacterium. RNAcentral's name for it is "partial 16S ribosomal RNA". It matches the Rfam family "Bacterial small subunit ribosomal RNA", at positions 524 to 776 of the family's 1533-position model. The record is from RNAcentral.
UACGAAGGGGGCUAGCGUUGCUCGGAAUCACUGGGCGUAAAGGGUGCGUAGGCGGGUCUUUAAGUCAGGGGUGAAAUCCUGGAGCUCAACUCCAGAACUGCCUUUGAUACUGAAGAUCUUGAGUUCGGGAGAGGUGAGUGGGACUGCGAGUGUAGAGGUGAAAUUCGUAGAUAUUCGCAAGAACACCAGUGGCGAAGGCGGCUCACUGGCCCGAUACUGACGCUGAGGCACGAAAGCGUGGGGAGCAAACAGG